GAAGGUCCAAGCGUUGUUCGGAUUUACUGGGGCGUAAAGCGUGCGUAGGCGGCAAGGUAAGUCAGAUGUGAAAUCCCGGGGGCUCAACCCCGGGAACUGCAUCCGAUACUGCCUUGCUAGAGUAAUGGAGGGGCAUCUGGAAUUCAUGGUGUAGCAGUGAAAUGCGUAGAUAUCAUGAGGAACACUAGUGGCGAAGGCGAGAUGCUGGACAUUUACUGACGCUGAGGUACGAAGGCCAGGGUAGCGAAAAGGAUUAGAUACCCUUGUAGUCCUGGCAGUAAACGGUGCUCGCUUGGGUGUGGGGAGGUUCGACCCUCUCCGUGCCGGAGCUAACGCGUUAAGCGAGCCGCCUGGGGAGUACGGUCGCAAGACUA
RNAcentral lists this ribosomal RNA (374 nucleotides) under uncultured organism. RNAcentral's name for it is "partial 16S ribosomal RNA". It matches the Rfam family "Bacterial small subunit ribosomal RNA", at positions 528 to 896 of the family's 1533-position model. The record is from RNAcentral.